CAUCUUUACCCAAAUGUGAAACCACCCUGCCCAAAAAGGAAGGCCACACAGAGGAAAGAAAUGCCAACAGAUGGAGAGAGAAACGGUAUCUUGAGGACCUGUGACCCUCCUGGAGAGAGCCAUGCCUGAAGUGGCCACAGCCCCUGGAUAUCUCUGUUACAUAAGCCAAGUCAACAUAUCUGGCAUAACUUGGCAGGGUUCAGAGAGACUACUCCGGCCACCUGGUGUUUUUCUCUGAAAGCAGGGCUUGAUACCAGCACAAGCAUUCCAUCUUCAGGAGUUCUAUUGGGAGUUUCAGGUGAGUUCACCUGAAUUCAGACCUCCCAGCUUUUGGUCAAAGGUCUACACUUUAUUUGAGCUGUUUCUCAAAACCUCUCUCUUUCCUUUAUGAGUGAGGGCUUCAGUCUCUGUCUUUGGACAGACGAUUCAGGCAAAGAGCUCUGCAGAGAACUUCCUCCUUCAGCCUGUCUCAGGACCAGGGCCUCAGGAUCUGGGAGAGACAUCUAAUGACUCAGACUGUUUGAGAAACACAGAAAACAGUGCCACUGACCCCUUCUGGGGGUCAUCUGUCUUGCUGUGAAGUCUAGAAAGUCACAGAUUCCUCUGAGACCUCAUACUCUACCAUCUUUUGUGCUGUGUUACCUGAUUUUGUUGGCUUUCCGGAGUACCAGAGAUUACUUGGUACUGAGAGAGAACUUGACCUUGGUAUAUGUGAUAACUGGUGAGUCACUGGCAGAGCUACGGUUUUGGAGGUGGCUGAGGGCUAUUGUUUACAGUAAAUGGUUAUUGCUACAGGACAGUACUCAUUUCCCUGGCAGUAUAGAUGAGACAGGUAAGGUUUAAACCUUAGAGAAAUGUCUUUGUAGCACAGGGUACUGUAGAAGCAUUGCUUGGCCGGGUUCCAUGGUGUUUCCCUUUUUUUGUGAGGGGAGAUUCCAGGAUUCAAUAUAAAAGUAGAAUGCUUGAUUUAAAAAAAUCUAAAUGCUCUGUCUUCCAACUGUGCUGGCUUUUCACAUAUUUAAAUUAUUCAACUUUAAAAACUGCAAAUGCUUUUUUGUCCCUGUUCCUUAAUGGGCUCCAGUUUGAGUUCAGUUAUCCACUUGGAAAACAGACAUUAAAUUAAAAGCUACCUAUCUAAAUGAAAUUGGCCUCCUUAUGAAAUUCUAUGGUAAAUUCCUAUGAUUUUGUGUUACCUUGAAAUUCAUUUUUAACCUUCCCCUAAUAUACCCAAAUUCCUUCUUUAAAAAUAUUAAAUUCUGUAUCUGUGAUUUGAGAUGUAAAUUUGCUACCCUAUUUCUCUAAACUUCAGUAAGGGCUUCAGCCAUGUGAAACAGAUAAACUUUAACAUUUUCCAUUUACAAAGGCACAACUGUCCAUUUAAACUAGAGAGUUUUACCUGAUUCAUGGGAAAGGUUCUAAAACUGAAGUUAUAAGAUCUCUAUGAUUGCCUGCAUUUUUUGUAUACAUGUGUACACGUCUUUUCGUAUGUUGUCUAUGACACCAAAUUGACUUGUAAAUAUGUGUUCUCAUAAAUUAAAUAACUAGACCAAAUGCUUUUUAAAUUCAGAUGAUUUUAGUAAUCUUUGGUAAAUAAAAAUAGUUUUAAAAUUGUUGGUAAAAUAAAAUAGAAACAGCUUCAUAAUUUAAUUAGGAAAUUUUUGUCUGUUGGUCACUCAAGUUUAUACUAUCUCUGCUAGAUGUUUUAAGGUCAUAAACCUGUAAUUCGUAUGAUAUUUUAAAAUAUUUGCUUAAUUUGUGAGCUUAUGUCUUUGGAUUUGAGCGUU
Long non-coding RNA from Sapajus apella (tufted capuchin), 1784 nucleotides. RefSeq lists it as uncharacterized. NCBI's taxonomy places the organism in Eukaryota, Metazoa, Chordata, Mammalia, Primates, Cebidae. The record is from RefSeq and is a predicted model, not a curated record. The transcript is spliced from 3 exons.